RNAcentral lists this long non-coding RNA (2434 nucleotides) under Arabidopsis thaliana (thale cress). Its description in RNAcentral is "potential natural antisense gene, locus overlaps with AT3G03700 (AT3G03702)". Lineage: Eukaryota; Viridiplantae; Streptophyta; Magnoliopsida; Brassicales; Brassicaceae. The record is from RNAcentral.
GUAAUUUCAAUACCAAUAUAAACUUUUUGUUCCGGUUCGAGAUCUCUCCUCCUAAAUUUUUGUUUGAUUUCUUCAAUCAAAAGCUCUCUACGACAAACUGCAAAUUCUUCUCCAGAAUCUGCGGCGGAUUCCCUUAUCGGGUAUUCGAUUCCAAAUGUGCAGUAGCUUCUCUUCCUUCUAUUGCUUCAGAUUAUUGUUUUUUCCGUUAAUCAUUAGAAUGUACUUGUGCUUAAUGUUGAUAAUGAUUGUGAUUAUAAUCACUAGUAUACUUGUGUCACAUAUGGAACAAAUUUAGUUAUUUUUUGCUGUAAAUUGGUAGUAUACUAAAAACUCUAAGAUUUUUAAGUGUUGAAAAUUUCAAUAAUCCUAAGUCCCACUGUAUAAUGGCUAAGUUGAGAGAAAAAGUAUGUGCAUUCUUUCUUUAGUUGGAGUUUUGGCAUACAUAUAAACACAUUGAAGCUAAGAUUUUUGCCUAUCAAUAGAAGAAUCUAUAAGUUUGAAGAAAUAAAGUAGUAAUCCUUGUUUUUCUUUACAUGUAUGUAGCGAGACUCCUUCAUGACUCAACAAUUGUUAUAACUAUCUUCUUCUCUGUCUCUACCCACCUCAAGCUCCCUGUUAUCUCGGUGAGCACUUAACAUUUGAAGACGCUGAAUACGUUGUGGAAUUGUUCCAUCAAAUCUCAUGCUCUGAGGAUCUUCAGAAUAAGCUACAUAGUAAGCCAAUACACAUGCCUGUAGCCACGCCAAACCUACCCUUCCCUGAAAACACUCAAAACCAGUUAAUGAAGAGACAGCUCCAACAGAAACAGCACUGAGAAAACAGAAGGAGCUAGUGAGAUCCGAGUCAAUCAGUUUCUCCAACCCUGUUGUGCUUCUGAACUUCUUCCAGGUAUCACUCGAAGCCUCCAUGAAUCCUUUAUCAUAGGUUCCAACAUGUACAAAGCCCCAUCUGUUUCCAAGUGUAAUGAGUUUGUUAGCAAUGGUAGAGAAGCAAUCAGCACCUGAAUACAUGACCUCAUCGCUGCUCCCUGACAUUAGAUUAACACUUCUUAUUGAUCCUCUUAUGAAUACGAUGAUUGGAACAAGCGUCGAGCCAACGCAGAUGCUCCCAGUCAAGUGUUUCAUAGUGAUGCGGAAAGCAUUCCAAGCGUCCAUAUCUUCUCCAUGUGCAAAGUUUACAUAUCUCGCCCGUGAAAUCGCAACUUGUUGAACAUUCUUGAUAACUUGCAUCGUCCAUGCUAAGCUUAUUAUGAUUACGGAUAUGAACAAGAUAUCAAGAUUUGUUCUAGUGGAAGUUGCUCCUCCAAUUCCAGUCACCAAGAAACCAGAGUAAACGACACUGACUAUGAUUGAUAAGCAGACUACUUCUCUGGUUCUUGCAGGUGGAAAUGCUGUGGCAAGUGAUAAUAUUUUAUCGGUGUACUCAAGCCUCGGAGUAAUCCAGCAACCAUAGAGGGACUGAGUAAUGGCGAAAAGGACAAACACUGCACCUAUACCUGCAUCUACCGCUGAGCCAAUCAAAACAAGCAAGAUUCCUACCGAGCAGGUGAGUAUUGGACUAAGCCAGAACGUUGCUUUGACUGCUCUUGAUGGAUUGUAGAUAAAGAUGCAUUGCCAUGCUAAAGAUGCAAUUCCUGAGACAGCAACAGAUGCUAGUAAAGGAGGGUACCAUUUCUUGAGGUGGAAAUGGUGUGUACUUGCUGAGAUGAGACCGCGAAUGGUGAGAACGAUCACCAAAAGUGAGAUUAAGGUUAGUUGUGAGAAGAGAAGACCCUUGAAAAGAGUUCUAAAGAGUUUUCCUGCUAUGGUUUGUUGUGUUGUUGGAGGUGGUCUACCUUGUUGUUCCUGCAAAAAAAAAAAAAAAAAAAAAAAUGGUGUCUCAUCAACAGGUUAUUCAAAGCUGGUUAAUGUGAAUUCGUUAUGAACAUGCAAGUAAAAAGCACCAUGAAGAAAACAAGAAGAGACAAAAGAGAAGCUGGGUCUUGGUUUUGUUCUUGAGUCAAGAAAUAGUGAUGGAAGUCAACGAGAGAGGAUCAAAACAGAUAGCAUAAAGUAGAAAGCAAAACAGAACCCAGAGAGAGAGAAGAUACAGAGAUCAAGGUGUUUCCUGAUUCUUGAUUCAAAAGAGAGAAAUACCUUGAAGGCGAUUGGAGAAGAAGAAGGAGGAAGAGGAGACAUUAUUCUUGGUUCUUGAAUCUGCACGCGAGAGGCAUGACCGUUGCUUGUUGGUGUAGGCAUAGAUGCGUUGUAUUUGCCAGGAGUGUUCCUUGAAUCCCAAGUUCCACUUAACCAUCUUCAUCAAUCAUCAUUCUUCUGUUGUAUAUAUAUAUGUAUAUAUACAUACAUCUUUGUCAAUAAGUUCUAUCAUUUUGUUGAUGUUUUAUUAAAUGCAUUUCGAAUAUUUAUUAUACAUACUUUAUUCCAUUACUUUGACU